UGCAGGGUCAAGACGCUCGCAGCAGAAACCUCCGGAGAUGAAACCCCUCUGCUGCUGCCGGUUCAGGGUGACACGUCAGCUGUAGUGCUGACAUCAUCAUCAUCAUCAUCAUCAUCACGUUACCUGCUGCUUCCUGAAGGUCCAACAUGUCAGCAGCUCUGUCAGACGGGUAACUAUCAAACCUGACUGAUACUGAAACCUUCAGGAUUUACACGUUUCACUCUUCAUCCUCUUCACUAACAGCUGCUGUGAUACUGAUUAUAAUCUGUUAUUACUGUUAAAAAUAUGAAACUGAUUUGUGAUAUUAGACCAAAGUUUAUCUCUAGAUAAGUGUGGAAGUGGUGGAAGAAGUAAAUUAUAGAUUAUUAUUAGUAGAAAUAAAAUACUUUUACACGUCCUGCAUUCAGAAUUUAACUUCAGUAAAAGAUGAUUUCUGUUUAUUGGAUCAUAAAAACUGAUCCAUUAUUAAUCUGUAAUCCAUCACAUUAACAAACAUAUUAUACUGUAUUAUAUGUAAUGUGUAACUCCAGCUGUAGUACAGAGUGAAUGUGGAGGAGUAGUAAUACAGUUAUAUCGAGUACAUCUGCAGCCUCAGUAAUCAAUAAUCCAUCACGUCUCAACUCUUCCUCACUUUAAAUCAAAAUCUGUCGACGUGUUUCUGAGUGAAACAGGACGGACCGGCGGGACGAAUCUGAGCUCUGUGGAUGUCAUGAUAUUACUGGUUGACACUGGUUUGUUCAUGUCAGUGUAUGUUUGCGUCAUUUUUUGUUUUACAGGAAGAAAACAUGAUUGGAUUGUGAUAUAAGAAUGUGUUGUUGAAUAGGUGCAUAAUAUGAGCAGGAUGUGAUGUUAAAGGGUUAAAAUGACAUUUUUCAUUUCAUCUCAGAUCGACGUCUUCAUACAACAAAAAUAUGUCAAACC
Molecule: long non-coding RNA, 921 nt
Organism: Thunnus maccoyii (southern bluefin tuna)
Lineage: Eukaryota; Metazoa; Chordata; Actinopteri; Scombriformes; Scombridae
Exons: 3
Source: RefSeq, a predicted model, not a curated record